UAAAUAUCUGAAAAAUUACCACCCCUCUGGAGAGGCAAUUGCAACUGAUCAUUUUUGUGCUAGUCACAAGUUGCAACAUUUACAAAACGAAGCUUAAAGUAAAAUAAAUAUAACGAAAGAUUCAAUGGUAUCAUAUCGAUACACAUGUAACAACUACAAGCUAUGGUGGGCUACUGAAAAAGCUAUCAAUACAAUGUUGUAUGCGAUAUGAGAUUAAAGCAUGAAUCACAUGUGGUUGAUUCAGUGUUUGCUCUGGCAUUCGAUGCACAAGAACAUUCAGGAAGGGAAGUACGAGUCCUAAGACUCUGGCUAUUCUGUUCAUGACCUGUAGCUACUGUAUCCUCCACCAGAACCAAAUGAUCCAUAGCCACCACCAUAAUGAUGUCCGCCGUAUGAAGAUGAUGGAUAAGAGCCCCCACCUAGGUUAGAGUAAGAUGAUUGCCUCAAGCCUGUAUCUAACUGGCCAUAACUGCUUGGAAGUGAAUCUUUGUGGCUGCUCAUAAAUUCCUGGAUAAGUUGCUGAGCUGUCUGAACUUGUGAUGACAUCCCUUUUAUUUCCACCGUGAUUUCAUCAGAUAAACCCCUACUUUCUUGCACCGUAAGAACGGCACCACUAGUACGGCGUAUAUAAGCAAUAUUUGCUCCUCCUAUGCCAAUGAUAUCUUCUGCAUAAGUUAAUGGUAUUUGCAUUUGAACAGUUUGGGAUAUCUGAGUAAUAACAGAAUUCCCAGCACGACCCACACCUGAAGUGCGAGUUCCAGAAAGUCCAAAGUCUUGCCCAUACAAUGAAAGUCCAGUAGAAUGAUAAUGUGAGUCCAACUGGCUUUCACGUUCGGGAAACAGUGAGUCCCUCUUUGUUGGAGGAGGAUAAUCACCAAGUCCUGAUCGAGGAGGAUAAUCACCUAGUCCUGAUCGAGGAGGAUAAUCACCUAGCCCUGAUC
Molecule: unclassified non-coding RNA, 941 nt
Filed under: Hevea brasiliensis (rubber tree)
Lineage: Eukaryota; Viridiplantae; Streptophyta; Magnoliopsida; Malpighiales; Euphorbiaceae
Source: RNAcentral